UUACCUGCUCAUUUGAUCGGGCCGGGUUAAAAACCUUGGUGUUUCUUCUUUAGUUCUUGAGCCAAGCCCUUGAAGAAUUCGCUCAAUGGAGGAGAAACUAACGGGGACCACAGCCGCUGCGGGAGCGGAGUCACCGGCGUCGGCCGAGCCCCCGUCGUCACGGCGGCGAGCCGGAGGACUAAAGAGGAAAGCCAACGUGCUCUCAACAUCCAACUCUUCAUCGACACCGUCGAAACGCCUCACACGCGAGAAAGCCCUGAUCUCUCACCCUUCGAUCCACAAUGGAGGCCCGUUGACCAGAGCCCACCAGAGCCCCAACAAUUUGUCUUCUGCGGCUUAUGCCGCUACUGGAUGUAAGCUCGAGGAGAAGGUGGCUAUGUCGACGUCGGGGGCUGUGACGGUGGCAACACUGGAGGAGGAGGUGAAUAAGUUGGAGGAGUUGCAGGCAGCAAUAGAAGCGGAUUUUGAGGGAAUUAGAUCCAAAGAUUCUAACGCCCAUGUGGUGCCUAUUCAUUGCGGUUGGUUUUCAUGGACGAAAAUUCACCUCCUUGAGGAGCGUGCACUACCUUCAUUCUUUAAUAUGAACUCUCAAACCAGGACACCUGAUACCUACAUGGAGAUACGUAAUUGGAUUGUGAAAAAAUUUCAUGCAAAUCCAAAUGUGCAGAUUGAAUUGAAAGAUCUGUCUGAGCUUGAAGUUGCAGACCUAGAUGCAAAGCAAGAGGUGCUUGAGUUCUUGGACUAUUGGGGCUUGAUUAAUUUCCACCCAUUCCCGCAAGUAGAAUCUGCUGCAAAUGCUGAUGAUGAUAGAGAAGCAAAGGAGGAUUCAUUGCUUGAGAAGUUAUUUUGCUUUGAAAUCAUUCAACCAUGUCCACCUGUUAUUCAGAAGCCUAAUCUCUCGACUCCAGCUCUGGCACCUGGGUUGUUUCCAGAGUCUUCACUUGCAGAAGAGUUAGUGAGGCCUGAGGAGCCAGCUGUUGAGUACCACUGCAAUUCUUGUUCAGCUGAUUGCUCGCGCAAGCGCUACCAUUGUCAAAAGAAGGCAGAUUAUGAUCUAUGUGCUGAUUGCUUUAGUAAUGGGAUAUUUGGAUCAAACAUGUCUUCUUCAGAUUUUAUUCUCAUGGAGCCUGCUGAGGCUCCUGGUCUAAGUGGUGGAAAGUGGACAGAUCAGGAGACCCUACUUCUUCUUGAAGCAUUGGAACUUUAUAAAGAAAACUGGAAUGAGAUUGCAGAGCAUGUUGCCACAAAAAUUAAAGCUCAAUGUAUAUUGCACUUUGUUCAAAUGCCUAUUGAAGAUGUCUUUUUUGACUGUGACGAUGAUGUAGAUGGGAUUUCCAAAGAAACUAAAGAUCAACGUGCAACCACUGAUGAUACAUCUGUUCCUAAGGAUGGGACUGAAACAAUGAAGGAUAAAACUGGUGCUAAGGAGGAUCAUCCUCUGAAGCUGGAAGCUUCAAGAUCAGAAGAAGUGGUUGAAGUAAAAGGUUGUCAGGAAACUGCAAAGCCUAACAACACCAGUGAAGCAAUAGUUGAUGAGAAAUCUUCAAAAUCAGAAGAUACUAUUGAAGUGAAGGCUGCUCAGCAUGCCUGUGAAAAUUUGGCACUCAAAGCUCUUACAGAAGCAUUUGAAGCUGUUGGUUAUCCCUGUACUCCUGAAAAUCGACUUUCAUUUGCUGAAGUUGGAAAUCCUGUCAUGGCUUUGGCUGUGUUUUUAGCCAGACUGGUAGGAAGUGAUGUGGCUGUGGCUUCAGCUCGCAGCUCUUUGAAGUCUUUAAAUAGUGAUUCUCCAGGUAUGCAGCUGGCUACAAGGCACUGCUUUCUUUUGGAAGAUCCACCAGAUGACCAGAAGGGACCAGCGGGUCUUGAUUGCAGUGCCAUAGAAACGGCUAAUCAAGAUGCUCAAAAGUACAACCAUGAACGCCAAGCCCAGAAAGACUUGGAUGGAAGAGACUUAUCAAUUGACCACAGUGAUGAGAAAACUGAAGAUUGUACUUCAGAGGAAAAGCAACCUCCAGAUUCCUCAAAUGAUGAACCCACAGAGAAAUUAAAUGCUGCAAAUGAUGCAGUUACUGUAAAUUUUCAUGAGGAAGUUGAAAUUGGUAAAUUGAAGGAGUCUAGUGACUCAUUACAAAAGGAACCUCAGGUAAGUGCGUUAAAGGAAUUAAAUGAGAUGCAAUCCAAGUCUCCAUGUCCACCAAGUUCUAUAAAGGAGACAGAAGGGUCUUCAGUGGCUCUGAACUCUCAGCAAACAGAGGUCUCUAAGGAUGAAGAUAUGGUGUCCAAUUUGAAACCUUCUGAAAAUGAGCCUUGUCAAUCAGCUGCACCAGUGUUGGUACAAGAGCCCUCUCUAGCUGCAGAGACAUCAGAGGAUGUUGGCAUGAUCUCAGAUUCUCUGCCUGCUGAGAAGAAUGAGCAACUAGUGAAAUCAAAUUCAGUAGCAAAUAACUCUCAGCCUACAGAGGCACCAAAGGAUAUAUGCAUGUCAUCUGAACUGCCUUCAGAAGCAAAAGAGUCUCAGCAGCCAGUUGCCUCAAAUUCAGUUGUUGGAAAAGGAGCAACUGCAGCUGAGGACCACAAGGACAGUAAAAAAUGGAAGCCUAAUCGUGAAGAGAUUAAAGAGGACAACCGCUUCUAUAAAUUUAAGUGUGCUGCAGUUUCUGCUCUUUCAGCAGCAGCAGUGAAGGCAAAACUUCUUGCAAACCAGGAAGAAGACCAAAUCCGUCAACUUGCUGCAUUGUUGAUAAAAAAGCAGGUGCAUAAGCUGGAAAUGAAGUUGGCUUUCUUUAAAGAAAUGGACCUCGUGACAAUGAGGGUUAGGGAGCAACUUGACAGAUUAAGGCAAAGGCUGUACCAUGAGCGAGCACAAAUAAUUGCAGCCCGACUUGGGUUACCGGCAUCUUCAUCUAGAGGAAUGCCACCAACAUUACCCACCAACAGAAUUGCAACGAACUGUGCAAACUCAAUUCCGAGGCCCCUUAUGAGCAUGACUUCCCAAAGGCCGCCAAUUGCAAGACCCAUGGGGACAUUGUCUCCUACCCCUUCUAACCCAUUUGUAUCAACAACUGCAGCAGGAAGUUCAAUUCGGCCUUCAGGGCAGGACUAACUUUCUUCAGUUGGAACAAAGUAGUCUUUCCUCAGGAGGCAUGUGAAUAGAUUCUAUUCAUUUUUGAACUCCAAUCAGUUGCAAGCAUUUUAACAAGAGGAAAUGACCAGCAUCUUCCUUUGCAAUGCACUGUAGUGUUGGGACUGACUGCUUGCUACGAAGUAUGGAGACGGGCUGGCUUACAAUUAAUUGCAAAGGCCGUUAGUCCCAUUUUUAGCAGCAAGCACGGGGAUGAAAACUGAAAUUACGGCUUGGAAGUUUGUUUAUGAUUGUAAUUUGUAAGGUUUAGUCAAUGUGUUUUAUACAUGCUAAGAUAGUGUUAGUGUAGUCUGUAAUGGUAUGCAAGGUUAUAGGUCGCCAGUUGUAAGAAAAGGCAUAGUUAGUUAGUAUAUAUUGGGGUUUUUUAAAGAGCAUAUAUUGUAAAUUAUAGGAAGAUGCGUCCCGUCUUUUUAAAAUUUAUAUUCACAGAUUGAAGUGGCAUCUCAAGUGCAAAAACUGCAACAAAGAUCCGUUGUGAUGAUGUGCUUGUUCAUAGUGGAUUAGAAUGGAUUGGACCGUGGCUGUUAUAUUUA
This is an RNA transcript of Hevea brasiliensis (rubber tree), 3675 nucleotides long. It is a transcript of the gene named SWI/SNF complex subunit SWI3D-like, with no coding region annotated. The record is from RefSeq and is a predicted model, not a curated record. The transcript is spliced from 8 exons. Lineage: Eukaryota; Viridiplantae; Streptophyta; Magnoliopsida; Malpighiales; Euphorbiaceae.